Molecule: transfer RNA, 73 nt
Filed under: Candidatus Poseidoniales archaeon
Lineage: Archaea; Methanobacteriati; Thermoplasmatota; Candidatus Poseidoniia; Candidatus Poseidoniales
Description: tRNA-Tyr
Rfam family: tRNA
About the family: Transfer RNA (tRNA) molecules are approximately 80 nucleotides in length. Their secondary structure includes four short double-helical elements and three loops (D, anti-codon, and T loops).
Source: RNAcentral
CCUCGCUUAGCUCAGUUGGUAGAGCACCUGACUGUAGAUCAGGCUGUCCCCAGUUCAAGUCUGGGAGCGGGGA